Molecule: long non-coding RNA, 220 nt
Organism: Scomber japonicus (chub mackerel)
Lineage: Eukaryota; Metazoa; Chordata; Actinopteri; Scombriformes; Scombridae
Exons: 5
Source: RefSeq, a predicted model, not a curated record
UCAUGUGAUCAUGUGGUCAUGUGGUCAUGUGAUCAUGUGAUCAUGUGAUCAUGUGAUCAUGUGGUCAUGUGAUCAUGUGGUCAUGUGGUCAUGUGAUCAUGUGGUCAUGUGGUCAUGUGAUCAUGUGGUCAUGUGAUCAUGUGGUCAUGUGAUCAUGUGAUCAUGUGGUCAUGUGGUCAUGUGGUCAUGUGGUCAUGUGAUCAUGUGAUCAUGUGAUCAU